Molecule: long non-coding RNA, 1138 nt
Organism: Brassica napus (rape)
Lineage: Eukaryota; Viridiplantae; Streptophyta; Magnoliopsida; Brassicales; Brassicaceae
Exons: 5
Source: RefSeq, a predicted model, not a curated record
CUUAACCUUUAUAGUAAUAAUUUAAUUUAGUAUUGAUUAAAAUGAUAAUAUAUCAAAUUCAAUAUAGCUACAAAUAACUGCAUAUUAUGUUGUAGCUAUAUAAUAAUUCAGAAAUUUAACACAAAAAUUUCCAUUCCCGCUUUGCCUUUUUCUCAUUUUCCCGGCUAAAGCAUUUCCGGGGCAAACAAAUUAUUUUCUGUUUGAAACGAAACCACAAAAUUUAUUUAAGUAUAGAAAUACAAAAAAUCUUUUUUACUUAUCUUCAAUUCUCCCUUUGUUUCUUCAGCCUCCUCUGUAUCUUUUCUCAAUCUUCUCUCUUCAACCUUCUAAUAUAGCUGUUGCUUCCUAAUUCGUGUUUAAGAUGAAUCUCCUAGGCGUCAAUCUUAAAAUCGCUUCUUUCAUGCCUCAGUUCCAUAGCUCACGAUCCGAUUGUAAUUUAUGCGCUUCUUGGGUUAGGUUCUGUCUCUGUUUCUGCAAACGACGAAGUUUUGUGUACUGCUUGAUAUCAAGGAGAAAACUUUGAAGAAGCUGUCUAAGCAGUAUGUGUGUUCCAGACUGUCUUUGUUUUCUAUUUGUUCUCACAUACUUACCAAACUCUUUGUUUCUAUCUUCGUGCAAGGACAUGAUAUAUGAAUCCAAGUAGCAGGGGUCACUUGUACAGUUCUCUGGCUCUAAGGAAAUUCAAAUGAUGCUGGAGAUUGCGGUGGCAUCCCUGUGUUUAAUACUUAUAAUGUCACUGCAUUUGAGAAGAUGGCCAAGGAGUUUGUGGAGAUGUUCAAACACGAAGUAAUGCUAUAGGGCGAUCUUAGGAGGAGCCAUACUUGUUCCUGAAGUCGCAAUGCAAGUAGCAAAGAAGAGACAUAAUUGAUUGAUAUCAGUGACGAGGAAGAAACAAGUCUCGAAGGAGAUUUAAGUUUCGGUAUAAGGAUGAGUGGUACGUAGGCAAAUCGAACCUCCGGUCAAGUUUGAUAUAGCCAAGAGACCAGGAGCAAAGAGAUACCGUGCACCAGUUUAGAUUUAGGUUUUUAUUAGGUUUUCAAAACCAGUUUAUUAUUUAUGAACCAGUUUUAAUUUGUAAACCAUAUUGAAAAUAUUAUUGGAAAUAAAAGAAAAUAAAAUAAUUGAUUUGGUUUUAGUA